Molecule: non-coding RNA, 29 nt
Filed under: Bombyx mori (domestic silkworm)
Lineage: Eukaryota; Metazoa; Arthropoda; Insecta; Lepidoptera; Bombycidae
Source: RNAcentral
UCUCAUUAAUUUGAAGGUUCAACGGCAGC